ACGAACGCUGGCGGCGUGCUUAACACAUGCCAGUCGCACGGAAAGGCCCUGCUUGCAGGGUACUCGAGUGGCGAACGGGUGAGUAACACGUGGGUGAUCUGCCCUGCACUUCGGGAUAAGCCUGGGAAACUGGGUCUAAUACCGGAUAGGAGCCAUUUUUAGUGUGAUGGUUGGAAAGUUUUUUCGGUGUAGGAUGAGCUCGCGGCCUAUCAGCUUGUUGGUGGGGUAAUGGCCUACCAAGGCGGCGACGGGUAGCCGGCCUGAGAGGGUGGACGGCCACAUUGGGACUGAGAUACGGCCCAGACUCCUACGGGAGGCAGCAGUGGGGAAUAUUGCACAAUGGGCGCAAGCCUGAUGCAGCGACGCCGCGUGGGGGAUGACGGCCUUCGGGUUGUAAACUCCUUUCGCUAGGGACGAAGCUUUUUGUGACGGUACCUAGAGAAGAAGCACCGGCUAACUACGUG
This 464-nucleotide ribosomal RNA is filed under the name uncultured bacterium. RNAcentral's name for it is "partial 16S ribosomal RNA". It matches the Rfam family "Bacterial small subunit ribosomal RNA", at positions 29 to 507 of the family's 1533-position model. The record is from RNAcentral.